RNAcentral lists this transfer RNA (72 nucleotides) under Caudoviricetes sp. Its description in RNAcentral is "tRNA-Lys". It matches the Rfam family "tRNA". From Rfam's summary of the family: Transfer RNA (tRNA) molecules are approximately 80 nucleotides in length. Lineage: Duplodnaviria; Heunggongvirae; Uroviricota; Caudoviricetes. The record is from RNAcentral.
UGGUCUGUAGUGAAAUGGUAUCACAGCACCCUUUUAAGGUGCAAAUUUCGGGUUCAAAUCCCGACAGACCAA